This 22-nucleotide non-coding RNA is filed under the name Arabidopsis thaliana (thale cress). The record is from RNAcentral. Lineage: Eukaryota; Viridiplantae; Streptophyta; Magnoliopsida; Brassicales; Brassicaceae.
UGUGGUUCAUAGUGCAAAUUUU